AGCAGCCGCGGUAAUUCCAGCUCCAAUAGCGUAUAUUAAAGUUGCUGCAGUUAAAAAGCUCGUAGUUGAAUUUCGGGACUAAUAUGUCGGUCGUGCCUCGGUACGUACUGGUAUUUUUGGUUUCUCCCUUCUGACGAACCUUGAUGUCAUUAAUUUGGUGUCUUGGGAAAUCAGGACUGUUACUUUGAAAAAAUUAGAGUGUUUAAAGCAGGCUCACGCUUGAAUACAUUAGCAUGGAAUAAUGAAAUAGGACGUUUGAUUCUAUUUUGUUGGUUUCUAGGAUCGACGUAAUGAUUAAUAGGGAUAGUUGGGGGCAUUAGUAUUCAAUUGUCAGAGGUGAAAUUCUUGGAUUUAUUGAAGACUAACUACUGCGAAAGCAUUUGCCAAGGAUGUUUUUAUUAAUCAAGAACGAAAGUUAGGGGAUCGAAGACGAUCAGAUACCGUCGUAGUCUUAACCAUAAACUAUGCCGACUAGGGAUCGGAUGAUGUUAAUUUUUUAAUGACUCA
This 507-nucleotide ribosomal RNA is filed under the name uncultured Glomus. Its description in RNAcentral is "SSU rRNA". It matches the Rfam family "Eukaryotic small subunit ribosomal RNA", at positions 569 to 1078 of the family's 1831-position model. The record is from RNAcentral. Lineage: Eukaryota; Fungi; Glomeromycota; Glomeromycetes; Glomerales; Glomeraceae.